This is a long non-coding RNA of Erinaceus europaeus (western European hedgehog), 708 nucleotides long. RefSeq lists it as uncharacterized. The transcript has 4 exons. The record is from RefSeq and is a predicted model, not a curated record. NCBI's taxonomy places the organism in Eukaryota, Metazoa, Chordata, Mammalia, Eulipotyphla, Erinaceidae.
UCGGCACUUGCGGGCAACCCCACCCAACUCGGAGAGUGGCCCCGCGGCUCUCGAGGGGCGGGGCCUCACUACCAUCCUCGCUGGCGAUUGGCUUAAAUUCCUCAGGGCCAUGGGAAGGAGCCAAUUGCGGCGGAGACGGCAGGUGACCCGUCGCAGAUAUUGGAAUUCUCGCACUACCAUAGAUGGCAAAGCUUACUUAGAAAACUGGCCUCCACGUGAAUAUCCAGCGUUGAAGCAUCUACCUAGAGUGCGUGAACAAAGUUAAGGAUUUGCUGUCAGAAUUUUCUACUGGAAGCCUCACCUGAGAGAAUUGAGGAUGGAUGUAUUGGAGGAUGAAGGGGACAUGGUCAGUUUGUCAUCACUUGGCAAGAUUGCCUCUCCCUGCUGCAAGGAUUCAUGAAACCGCCGGAUGUUCUGCACAUGCUCUUCAUGGCGUGAUGCCUGGCUUCUUGUUAUACCACUUCUGUCAGGAAAAGUUAUGGAUAAAUGGCGAGAGACUGACAUGGAGAGAGAAGAGACACCACAGCACUGCUCUGCUGCUUGUGAAACUUUCCCUGUGCAUGGCACUCCCAUGUAGUGACUGGAGGUUUGAACCUGGGUCACUGCACUUGGAGAAGUGAGUGCUUUAUUGCCUGAGCUAUCCCUCCCUGCCUUAAAAAGCUGGACCACUGAUUUGAGUGUAACCAUUUUAAACAAGUUUAACUAGUA